CUCCGCUGCCUGAGGCUCUGCUGCAUGGACCUCACCGUGUUUCAUCAACAUGUCCUCUGAUUGGUUCUUCACUUCAGUCUGAAGAUCUGUCAGCCAGUUAGUUUCUGUCUGGGUGAGCGCCACUUCCUCUCCCCACCAGCUGCUGCAGUCACUCAGCUUACUCAGCAGCACGAGUGUGUGUAUGUUUUCAUGUGUGAUGCCCUUCCACCGUCCCAUCCCCCUUCCUCAUACACGCCUGCCAGUGUGUGUGAGUCAGUGGAGAAAGUUAAACUCUGUGUGUGUGUAGUGUGUGUGUGUUGUCCUUGCAGCAGACUUUGAUUCAGUGCGGCGGGGAGAGGAGCGAGUGAGAGUGCAAUGGGCGAGGAUCUGAGCUGAGGGGAUUGCACCGUUUUGGGGUUAAAGCCGUCUCCGUCAUGGAGGAGCCCAGGAGCUGCAGGUCAGGCAGCUGGAAGCAGCAAAGAUCAAACUGGAGGGAAAAAGUUCAGCUCAGAGGAGGAGAUGCCUGAGUCAGGGGUGAUUGUAGUGGGGGAGGCACCGCCUGAAGAUAGAAAAACUGCUUGGAGACACUGGUCUCAGGACAGUUUCCCAGAGGAGAGCUCGUUAUCAGCUGGCCAUCCAGAAACUCGUGGAGUCUGAGAGGAGCUACCUGCGCCUGCUGCAGCUCAACACAGUGACCAUCAGAGGAACCUGCAGCAGCUACAGGUCAUCCAACUGGGAAGGAAGUAGAGAAGGAAAAACUCCCUUUUAUCAGGAAGAAGGGCUGAGGAAGGGGCGGGGCAGGGACAGAGACCCAGACAUUAAUAAUAAGUUGUGAAUAAAUGCAGAGAAGUGUAUAGAGUCACAGUGACAAGCUUUGAUUUAAAGUGACAACACAAAGAAGCAAAAAGAAAAAGGGUGAACGUAAAGCUGCUGCUCACCUGUGCAGCAGGUACUGUAAGUGUUUUAGCAUCCUGCACCCUCUCAGUGGCUUCUUAUCACUUGCUUUUCAUUAUGCCUGUUCUGUUGCUUAGUACUGCUAAAUAAUGGCUCAUUGACCUAAUGAAAUGAGGCCUCAUAAAACAUAAUGAAAUCAGGCUUUAUGGGUGAGCAGAGCUGAGCUGUGGAAACACACCGAGGGAGCAGGAGAGAUAUGAACUGUGUUCCAUAAGAGAUGAAUGUAGAGCAUGCAAAAGUGGAGGUGAAACACGACACGGGGAGGAGGAGGGGCAGGGUGAAGGCCAGGGUGAAUGACGGCUCUGUGAGGCCGAUGAGCUGCUGGAUUGUGCAUUGUUCAGCCUCCCAGCGGCGAGCGCAACCACUGCUCAGUCAUUCCAGCAUGAGCACAGACCCACCUUUAUUAUCAGAGGUCAGAAGUCAGCCAUGCUCUGAUGCUGCUGCAGCACGUCCCCAUCGCUUUUUCAGCGUUCCUCCCACUCUGAUGUUUUUAUAUACUCAAAAUAAAUGAACACAAUGUGUUAUAAUGGGGAGAUCAGCAAGAGACUGAGCCAGGCUACACUAACACUAGCGAGGGACACCACUCCAACCGGGCCUUAAGUAUAGUCCGUGUUAUUAAGUCGUGAAGAGCCACAGGUGCGUGUGCAUGGGUGUGAAGAUCAGGUGACCACUGGAAGGCAGGCACUGCACCCCAGGACAGCCACUGGUGGAUCAUGACAGUUACACCUCGACCAGAUGCUGUUGGAUGGAAGCACAGCAGUGGAGUGGGGAGAGUGGGAAGUCUAAUCAGGCACAAUGAUACUUCCACAGUUCACAAUAAUCCUUCUGUACGUCAUCCUGGUGCUCCUCCUAUUAGACAAAUGUCUUCUGAUUGGCUGCACCUCACAAACAGCAGCUGGUGGACGAGGAAUUUGAUGCCCUGGAAGGAUUCUUCUAUGUUUUGGAAAACGGCAUCCUGGAGCUGCUGGAGAACGUGGAGACAUACCUGCAGCACAUGCAGGGCUUCCUGUCCUGCCGCACAGAGGACUUUGACUUGGACAUGGACGGAGAAAAGGCACCGAUCUGGUAUAAGGAGAUCACGACGGCACUCCAACAGUGGAUCCUCCCAACAUUUCCUCUCAGCGCCGUCUGAAGCAGCUAACGGAUAAGCACGGCUCUGGAAAGAUCAUCCAGGUGAUGGUCUUCCAGGCAACAGCCAUGGAGACAGAAGGAGGUGGCUGGUCAAUGCAGGAGGGAAGGGAGGCUAUGAUGCUGCCUCGAAACUCAUUUGCUAUCACGAGCCAACAGAAGACCCGCCCACUUCACCACACCCGAACCUGACAGAAGAUGUGACCGCAGGCAAAAGACACUCCUACAGCCCAGCAAGCCACGCCCCACUGCCCAUGAGCUGCUUCCAGGUUGUGGGCGACUACGACUUCACGGCCAGAUCCAAACACAAAGUUUCCUUCCAGGCUGGAGAACCCGUUCAUGUCCUGGAGCCUCACAACACACGAGGGAGCCCCGAGUGGAGCCUGGUGGAUGUCAGAGGAGGUCAGAGAGGCUACAUGCCCUCCAACAAAUUGGCAAUCAUGCCCGUGGGAGCGGGGCUGCCCCCGGGCCUUGGCUUCUUCCUUUAGGGGGUGGAAACUGCAGCUGGUGCAGAUGAGAGGAUGGAUGGAAGAGCCUCCCGGGGUCGAACACUUUUCAAAGAUGGCAGCUGUAACGUCAUGAAGCUCUGACUGCGUGUCACCUCAAAAAACGUGUAGAUGAUGUUUGGUCUGCGGUUUUAAGAUGAAGGACAAUUUUCAUGGCUGCUGUACAGUGAAGCGCUCAUUUCCCAUGAUCCUCAGAGCCAUGCUGCAUGUUCUCAUUACAGUGUCUGAGUGCUAUCAAGCUAACUGUAACAUGUGUGUGUGUGUGUCCUCACCUGGAGCAGAGCUGACAGGUACAUGGCGCUCUCAUCAUCUCAGACUGUGUAAUGUGAUGUAAAUGUGAAAUGUCUCUGGGGCUGAGGAAGAACAAGACUCAGCAGGAGAGGGAGGAGGAACUGGGAGAGGGGCGAAGGAGAACGGCAGUUUCCUGCUCUGCCUAUGAGCUGAUUUAAAUUUCGUUGCACUUUGAUUCCAGAAUUUUACGUAGGAAGAGUGAAAUGGGUCAGUCAGGACAGAAUAAUGUCCUCCUGCAUUCACAUUCACCUGACGAUGCUUGUUGCUAUGGAUACGGUUCAGGCAGUGCAGGUCACGUCUAUGGAGUUUGCUUGACUGCAGCAGCGUUUCUUGAUUCCCGCACUUUAAACAUUUUUGGGUCAGAAUCAUUUGAAAGCAUCUCUGAGUGUGUGCUGAUUGGCUCUCAGGACAUAACCAUGAACCUGAGCUCCAGUAGUUUUGCAGAUAACAGCAGCUUUAACCUUUGAGCACCACAGACUCUGUCCUGGCCUCCUUCUGUGGGGUUGAGCAGCCUCAGCUGCUGUGAGCAUGGAGCAGAGGGAGGGAGGCUGGGAGUCUGAGCUGCUCAGCUGUUCCCAUCAGGCUGAAUGUCAGGAGGAGGAGGAGGGGGAUGCUUCUCUCCUAAAAUACCAUAUGUCCUCAGGGUUAGUCAGAUGGACUCAGAAACCUCAGCCUGAGAACAUUUACCUGGUUUAGGAUGAGGGGAGCGGUUCAUUCAGUAAAUGCAGCCUCAGUUAUUUUGGGAAGUUUUAAUCCAAACUGACAUGCAGAUGAAGCUGCAGCGUUUCUUCUUGUGGAGGAAGUAGUUAUUUUAACCCAUACACACACGGAAACCACAGAGUGAACAUUUCUGGCUUUUUCUGUCUGAUCAGAAACCAAGUCAACGUCUUCCUGUUCGCAUUUUCACCACCAGAGGGAGGCAGAGACUCGGAGCAUGUGUGCAUGAUCAGAUUAACUGUGUGUGUGUGUGUUUGGUAAUCGCGGCCACAGUUUGUGUGGCCGCUACUUCCUGUUUUGUUUCUGUGUGGUUUCAUGAACCUGCUGCUCAGCCGGUCCUGCUGAGUCAUUCUGAUGUUUUCCUCGAUGCUGCAGGGCUGCGUGACCUCAGCUGAGCAUGAAGCGCUGCCAGAGUUGUGAUGUUGAACUCAGUCAUGUCUUCACACAGCAGGUGGGAGGCUGAGCAGCAGCAGCAGCAGCAGCAGAGAACUGAGAGUGGCUUCAAUAAAACUAAAC
Molecule: long non-coding RNA, 4091 nt
Organism: Oreochromis aureus
Lineage: Eukaryota; Metazoa; Chordata; Actinopteri; Cichliformes; Cichlidae
Exons: 7
Source: RefSeq, a predicted model, not a curated record